GAUGAACGUUGGCGGCGUGCCUAAUACAUGCAAGUCGAGCGAACAGACGAGGAGCUUGCUCCUUCGACGUUAGCGGCGGACGGGUGAGUAACACGUGGGUAACCUACCUAUAAGACUGGGAUAACUUCGGGAAACCGGAGCUAAUACCGGAUAAUAUUUCGAACCGCAUGGUUCGAUAGUGAAAGAUGGCUUUGCUAUCACUUAUAGAUGGACCUGCGCCGUAUUAGCUAGUUGGUAAGGUAACGGCUUACCAAGGCAACGAUACGUAGCCGACCUGAGAGGGUGAUCGGCCACACUGGAACUGAGACACGGUCCAGACUCCUACGGGAGGCAGCAGUAGGGAAUCUUCCGCAAUGGGCGAAAGCCUGACGGAGCAACGCCGCGUGAGUGAUGAAGGUCUUCGGAUCGUAAAACUCUGUUAUUAGGGAAGAACAAACGUGUAAGUAACUGUGCACGUCUUGACGGUACCUAAUCAGAAAGCCACGGCUAACUACGUGCCAGCAGCCGCGGUAAUACGUAGGUGGCAAGCGUUAUCCGGAAUUAUUGGGCGUAAAGCGCGCGUAGGCGGUUUUUUAAGUCUGAUGUGAAAGCCCACGGCUCAACCGUGGAGGGUCAUUGGAAACUGGAAAACUUGAGUGCAGAAGAGGAAAGUGGAAUUCCAUGUGUAGCGGUGAAAUGCGCAGAGAUAUGGAGGAACACCAGUGGCGAAGGCGACUUUCUGGUCUGUAACUGACGCUGAUGUGCGAAAGCGUGGGGAUCAAACAGGAUUAGAUACCCUGGUAGUCCACGCCGUAAACGAUGAGUGCUAAGUGUUAGGGGGUUUCCGCCCCUUAGUGCUGCAGCUAACGCAUUAAGCACUCCGCCUGGGGAGUACGACCGCAAGGUUGAAACUCAAAGGAAUUGACGGGGACCCGCACAAGCAGUGGAGCAUGUGGUUUAAUUCGAAGCAACGCGAAGAACCUUACCAAAUCUUGACAUCCUUUGACCCUUCUAGAGAUAGAAGUUUCCCCUUCGGGGGACAAAGUGACAGGUGGUGCAUGGUUGUCGUCAGCUCGUGUCGUGAGAUGUUGGGUUAAGUCCCGCAACGAGCGCAACCCUUAAGCUUAGUUGCCAUCAUUAAGUUGGGCACUCUAAGUUGACUGCCGGUGACAAACCGGAGGAAGGUGGGGAUGACGUCAAAUCAUCAUGCCCCUUAUGAUUUGGGCUACACACGUGCUACAAUGGACAAUACAAAGGGCAGCGAAACCGCGAGGUCAAGCAAAUCCCAUAAAGUUGUUCUCAGUUCGGAUUGUAGUCUGCAACUCGACUACAUGAAGCUGGAAUCGCUAGUAAUCGUAGAUCAGCAUGCUACGGUGAAUACGUUCCCGGGUCU
This 1372-nucleotide ribosomal RNA is filed under the name uncultured bacterium. Its description in RNAcentral is "bacterial SSU rRNA". It matches the Rfam family "Bacterial small subunit ribosomal RNA", at positions 28 to 1381 of the family's 1533-position model. The record is from RNAcentral.